Molecule: non-coding RNA, 101 nt
Organism: Picea glauca (white spruce)
Lineage: Eukaryota; Viridiplantae; Streptophyta; Pinopsida; Pinales; Pinaceae
Source: Rfam
GCCCUCGAAAACAUUUAAUAAAAUUGGAAUGAUGCAGAGAAGAUCAACAUGGCCCUUAUGCAAGGAUGACACAUACAAAUCGAGAAAUGGUCCAAGUUCUG